UAACUUAAAUGCCUUUUAUUAUCAGGAAAAGGAAGUACUAGUGAAGGAGGAAGAGGAAAAGCAGAAGCAAAAGUCUUCCAGGACUUUCAAAUAUUAAGCAGAAUUUGGACUCAUCCAUGGUGCUUACAGCUGGACUAUAUUAGCAAAGAAAACAAGGGGUAUUUUGAUGAAGACAGGAUGAAUGAAUUCAUACCAUCAGAUUCUGAUGAAACCUCAAUGAGUUUAAGUUCAGAUGAUUAUCCUAAGGAAAAAAAGUUCAAAGGGAAAAAAAGAACUAGUUCAGGUGGACAUGAUAAUGUAGAAGUAAUUAAAGUAUGGAAUUCAAAUCUGGAGGUGGUGGUGAAGGGCAGAAGGAUGAGCUGGCCAGCAUUUCAUCUAUGACCGUAAAAAAAGAAAAAAAGAAGAAGAACAUACUUUUCAAAUCCAGGCGGCACUUCUCCAGACUGGUACAAAGAUUUUAUCACGGAUUCUGAUGCUAAAGUGUUGGAACAUUCUGGAAAAAUGGUACUUCUUUUUGAAAUUCUUAAAAUGGCCGAGGAACUUGGGGAUAAAGUGCUGGUAUUUAGCCAACCUCUCAUAUCUCUGGACUUGAUUGAAGAUUUUCUUGAAUUGGGCAGUAAGGAAAUAUCAGAUGAUAAAGACAAGCCUUGAAUUUAUAAAGGGGCUGGCUGUUCAUUAUUUCCAGCAAAGUGGGUUCAGUUGGCAUUAAUCUGGUAGCUGCUAAUCGAGUAAUUGUCUUUGAUGCCUCUUGGAAUCCAUCCUAUGAUAUUCAGAGUAUAUUCAGGGUUUAUCUCUUUGGUCAAAAUAAACCAGUCUUUGUAUACACGUUUUUAGCUCAGGUAGUUUUCAACUUUUCAUAUAAUAAAUUGGAAGUACAAGCAAAAGUUUGAAACUGGAGAGCAAUUAUAGGGAACUAUGGAAGAUAAGAUCUAUAAACCUCAAAUAACCAAGCAAUCACUCUCUUUUCGAGUUAUUGAUCAACAGCCAGUUGAACGCCAUUUUACUUUGAAUGAACUGACUGAACUUUAUACAUUUGAGCCAGACUUACUAGAUGAUCCUAAUUCAGAAAAGAAGAAAAAGGACACUUGUAGGGCUGUAUCCCAGAGAGAUCAAGCAAAUGGGAAAAGGAGCCACAUGU
Molecule: non-coding RNA, 1138 nt
Organism: Phascolarctos cinereus (koala)
Lineage: Eukaryota; Metazoa; Chordata; Mammalia; Diprotodontia; Phascolarctidae
Source: RefSeq, a predicted model, not a curated record